This 492-nucleotide ribosomal RNA is filed under the name uncultured bacterium. RNAcentral describes it as "bacterial SSU rRNA". It matches the Rfam family "Bacterial small subunit ribosomal RNA", at positions 29 to 507 of the family's 1533-position model. The record is from RNAcentral.
ACGAACGCUGGCGGCAGGCUUCAUACAUGCAAGUCGAGCGGAAAGGCCCCUUCGGGGGUACUCGAGCGGCGAACGGGUGAGUAACAGGUGGGUAAUCUGCCUUUCGAGGGGGAUAACGGCUGGAAACGGCCGCUAAUACCCCGUACGGUUGCGAAGCUCUCGGGCUUUGCAAAGAAAGGGGCCUUUAAAGCCCCGCCGAAAGAUGAGCCCGCCCCCCAUUAGCUAGUUGGCGGGGUAAUGGCCCACCAAGGCUGUGAUGGGUAGCCGAGCUGAGAGGUUGAUCGGCCACACUGGAACUGAGACACGGUCCAGACACCUACGGGUGGCAGCAGUAGGGAAUAUUGCGCAAUGGGCGAAAGCCUGACGCAGCCAUGCCGCGUGGAUGAUGAAGGCCUUCGGGUCGUAAAGUCCUUUUCUGAGGGAAGAACUGCCGGGGGAGGAAAUGCCCUUGGCUUGACGGUACCUCAGGAAUAAGCAACGGCUAACUCCGUG